GUGCCAGCCGCCGCGGUAAUACGUAGGCAGCAAGCGUUGUUCGGAGUUACUGGGCGUAAAGAGUGUGUAGGCGGUUCUCUAAGUUUGGUGUGAAAUCUCCCGGCUUAACUGGGAGGGUGCGCCGAAAACUGGAGGGCUCGAGUAUGGGAGAGGAAAGCGGAAUUCCUGGUGUAGCGGUGAAAUGCGUAGAUAUCAGGAGGAACACCUGUGGUGUAGACGGCUUUCUGGACCAUCACUGACGCUGAGACACGAAAGCGUGGGGAGCAAACAGGAUUAGAUACCCGCGUAGUCC
Molecule: ribosomal RNA, 292 nt
Filed under: uncultured bacterium
Lineage: Bacteria
Description: partial 16S ribosomal RNA
Rfam family: Bacterial small subunit ribosomal RNA
Source: RNAcentral